ACAUUCAUUUAGCAGCACAUAUACUGAACACAGAACAAUACAGAGGAGAUUGGCAUGGACUCUGUGCAUAGAUGACAUGUAAGUUCAUAAAGUCCCUUAUAAAAAAUAUUU
Small nuclear RNA from Jaculus jaculus (lesser Egyptian jerboa), 111 nucleotides. Lineage: Eukaryota; Metazoa; Chordata; Mammalia; Rodentia; Dipodidae. The record is from Ensembl.